CCCUUAGAUGUUCUGGGCCGCACACGCGCUACACUGAAGGAGGCAGCGUGUACUCCUGGAUCGAAAGAUUUGGGUAACCCGCGAAUCUCCUUCGUGCUAGGGAUUGAGGUUUGCAAUUAUCCUUCAUGAACGAGGAAUUCCCAGUAAGUGCAAGUCAUAAGCUUGCGCUGACUACGUCCCUGCCCUUUGUACACACCGCCCGUCGCUACUACCGAUUGAAUGAUUUAGUGAGGACUUCGGACUGGGACCGAUGCGGCUUUCGGGCUGCGUCGGUAUUGUGGAAAGAUGUCCAAACUGUAUCAUUUAGAGGAAGUAAAAGUCGUAACA
This 327-nucleotide ribosomal RNA is filed under the name uncultured eukaryote. RNAcentral's name for it is "partial 18S ribosomal RNA". It matches the Rfam family "Eukaryotic small subunit ribosomal RNA", at positions 1470 to 1796 of the family's 1831-position model. The record is from RNAcentral.